Molecule: unclassified non-coding RNA, 1878 nt
Filed under: Pocillopora damicornis (cauliflower coral)
Lineage: Eukaryota; Metazoa; Cnidaria; Anthozoa; Scleractinia; Pocilloporidae
Description: uncharacterized LOC113673040, transcript variant X1
Source: RNAcentral
UCCGCCAUUUGGGAUCAUGGCAUCCGCUCGAGAGGAGAGUCGCAUAAGUCCUUACAGAAAACUGCUUAUAGAUCUGUCUAUGGAACUGACUAGAAGAGAUAUGGAGAGGUUAAUUUAUGCUGUAGGGGAUAUUCUUCCUAGGAGACUGACUGAAAAUAUGGAAAGUGGACUGAAGUUAUUUGAAGCACUCGAACAGGAUGUUCAUAUUAGUCCACAGAACCUGAACCUGCUGCAAGAUGGGUUUGAUACAAUUGGCAGAGCGGAUCUUGCGCAAAGAAUUCAGGUUUUCUCAAGUAAACCAGACAGUGUUGAGGCUGAUGCAGGUGGGCAAGAUGACAUAGUGACUGAUGGAAUUGGGGAUCAAGGCAAUGCUGACACAACAGAGAGUGAUCCUACUGACACAAUAAACCCUGGUGCAGAGAAAGCUCAUGCUGUACACUUGAAAUCAGCACAGCUACCUCAUCAAUCAGUGUUACCGUUUGAUGGGAAUCUGGGAAGUACCCCCACAGUCACCAGACCCAGGGGUGCAGGAGAAGCUACUCCUACAAAGCAUUGCCUUGUGGCCAGCAGUGAUAAUUUAUCUAUGGCUAUAAAUGAUGGCUCCUACACUUCAUCUCCUGCACCCUCACCUGCAGCUGUGGGGCAACAAUCACGAGGACCCACUCAGGCUGCUUCAUCUGGUAGAGUCCAACAUGACCCAGCCCAUGGAACACCAUCGGUGCGAUAUGUGAACUUUCUUCUUUACGAGGGCUAUUCUGUGGAAAUAAUAGGAGGAAAACACUUCAAAACUCCAGAUGGAGAGUUUGUGGAAAUGAAAAGUGGGACACAGUAUAAAAUACAUGUAAAAAACUCACAUACCUAUGGUUGUCAUGUGGAUAUAUCAAUUGAUGGUUAUGAUGUAGGAGGAUGGGCUCUCAGGCGUGGAGAAGAGAUGUCAAUAGAAAGAUCAGCAUAUGAGGCAAAGAAGUUCACCUUCUAUCGAGUGAAAACUGCACCAAAAGAGGCAGGAAUUGUGUCUGGGCAGCCUGAAAAUGGUGUUCUUAAGUGUGUGUUUACACCUGAAGUUGUCAUAGCUUUCACACAAGGUUUAUCUUUCCAUCCACCCGAUGAAACAGAGAAUGCAAUGGAAAGAAGGAUAAAACAAGAAAUUGAAAGGCAAGGUUUAGAACUGAAUCGUAUAGAGUCGAAUAUAGAUUCUGCAUCGUGUAAAGUGGGCAUGGCGGAAAGUCAUAUAUCAGCUAAACAGAGUGGAUCGAUUCUUAGUAAAGUCUCUGUUUUGGUUUACAACAAGGAGCGAAUAAUUUUUAAUUCUUGAAUUGUGGUAGUCGCCUUUCAAACAGACGGUUGCUGAUCGCCACAUUAUUUUUUUUUUUGUACCCUGUUACUCGCCUCUUUCUUCAGGUUGGUUCCAAAAUCUUCUGCCUUCAAAUUCUAAUUCUGAAGCUCCCUCUGGUGAGUAGUAUUUCACAAAUGUAGUUGAAUAACAAGUUCCCCUCUGGUAAGUGGUAUCUGUCUCGGCGACGUCCACGAGUCAGUAAGGCUUCUUUUCAACAAACCUAAAACAUCAAGGGACUUAAUAUAACAAACUGUCUUGUUUCUGCUUUUUAACUUGAAGAGUGUUGUUGUAAACACCAUAUCUCUGUAAAUAAAGAUACUCUCACCUCAACCCCUCUAUUGUAAAGUGAGUUUAUUUUUAGAAAACUUUGGGAACAUUUUUUUUCAUGAGUUUUGCAUCUAAGAUGCGAUUUCUCCUUUUUUUUUUUUCUGAAUCACCAGAUGCUCCCCAAGCCCCACCACCCCGGCAAUCAACUCGUUACGCUCAAUCCAGUUGUGUCAAUGUCGUUGAACGGGAUCCAGCAUGGAGAGCAGGUGCUACAA